RNAcentral lists this ribosomal RNA (380 nucleotides) under uncultured Nitrososphaerota archaeon. RNAcentral's name for it is "bacterial SSU rRNA". It matches the Rfam family "Archaeal small subunit ribosomal RNA", at positions 471 to 851 of the family's 1478-position model. The record is from RNAcentral. Lineage: Archaea; Thermoproteati; Nitrososphaerota.
UAAAACCAGCUCCUCGAGUGGUCGGGAUGUUUAUUGGGCCUAAAGCAUCCGUAGCCGGUCUCGAAGGUCUCCUGUUAAAUCCAACGGCUCAACCGUUGGGCUGCGGGAGAUACCACGGGACUAGGAGGCGGGAGAGGCAGACGGUAUUCCGUGGGUAGGGGUAAAAUCCGCUGAUCCACGGAGGACCACCAGUGGCGAAGGCGGUCUGCCAGAACGCGCUCGACGGUGAGGGAUGAAAGCUGGGGGAGCGAACCGGAUUAGAUACCCGGGUAGUCCCAGCUGUAAACUAUGCAAGCUAGGUGCUGGAGUGGCCGCGAGCUACUCCGGUGUCGCAGGGAAGCCGUUAAGCUUGCCGCCUGGGUAGUACGGUCGCAAGACUG